Molecule: ribosomal RNA, 466 nt
Filed under: uncultured bacterium
Lineage: Bacteria
Description: partial 16S ribosomal RNA
Rfam family: Bacterial small subunit ribosomal RNA
Source: RNAcentral
GACGAACGCUGGCGGCGUGCUUAACACAUGCAAGUCGUGCGGUAAGGCCCUUUCGGGGGUACACGAGCGGCGAACGGGUGGGUAACACGUGAGCAACCUGCCUUUCACUUUGGGAUAACUGCCGGAAACGGUGGCUAAUUCCGGACAUGACUUCCCCCCUCCUGUGGGGUGGGGGAAAGACUGCGGGUGGUGGGGGAUGGGCUCGCGGUCUAUCAGCUUGUUGGUGGGGUGAUGGCCUACCAAGGCUUCGACGGGUAGCCGGCCUGAGAGGGUGACCGGCCACACUGGGACUGAGACACGGCCCAGACUCCUACGGGAGGCAGCAGUGGGGAAUAUUGGACAAUGGGCGAAAGCCUGAUCCAGCAACGCCGCGUGAGGGAUGACGGCCUUCGGGUUGUAAACCUCUUUCGCCUGCGACGAAGCGAGAGUGACGGUAGCAGGUAAAGAAGCACCGGCCAACUACGUG